AAGUCGUAACAAGGUUUCCGUAGGUGAACCUGCGGAAGGAUCAUUAACACAAUUUUACUGUGAUAAAAUCCAUUGAAUUUUCGAAUUCAAUGGUAUCCACCCCAUUAUUGACGAACUUUUUUGUCUAGAUGUUUUAAGAAACAUAGAGCUCGUCUUUGCGUUUUUCAAAACAUUCUAAACAACCUUUUUUUAUACCCCAUCACAUUUUUUAACCCCUUUUACAACAUGCCUUAGACUGAAAUGAAAAUUUCUUUAUUAUCAAAACAAUGAUAAAAAAAACAACUUUUAACAACGGAUAUCUUGGCUCUC
This 309-nucleotide unclassified non-coding RNA is filed under the name fungal sp. Its description in RNAcentral is "partial internal transcribed spacer region". The stretch from base 1 to 46 matches the Rfam family "Eukaryotic small subunit ribosomal RNA", at positions 1786 to 1831 of the family's 1831-position model. Lineage: Eukaryota; Fungi. The record is from RNAcentral.